This 107-nucleotide small nuclear RNA is filed under the name Marmota marmota marmota (Alpine marmot). Lineage: Eukaryota; Metazoa; Chordata; Mammalia; Rodentia; Sciuridae. The record is from RNAcentral.
GUGCUCGUUUCAGCAGCACACAUACUAAGAUUGGAACAAUUCAGAGAAGAUUAGCAUGGCCCCUGCACAAGGAUGACACACAAAUUCAUAAAGCAUUCCAUAUUUUU